AGUUAACAGUGAUGAGGAGAUACCCUCAGGCCAGCGACCAAGGGCAAAGUCCCCAGUUAACAGUGAUGAGGAGAUACCCUCAGGCCAGCGACCAAGGGCAGAGUCCCCUCAUAAAGGGACUAAGAGGACACACAAAACAAAGAUAAAGAAGCAUGCAAGUAAAAAGCCAAGAAGCCUUGAGCCUUCGCUGAAGGACAUCAAAAAAUAGCUUAUCCAUCAUGACAACAACCCCAAGAUUAGAUUUUAAACUUUGAUAUUGUUGUAAAUAUGUAAAUGUGGUCC
This 282-nucleotide long non-coding RNA is filed under the name Dendronephthya gigantea. Its description in RNAcentral is "uncharacterized LOC114544737". The record is from RNAcentral. Lineage: Eukaryota; Metazoa; Cnidaria; Anthozoa; Malacalcyonacea; Nephtheidae.